CGGGCGUUAAGUUGCAGGGUAUAGACCCGAAACCCGGUGAUCUAGCCAUGGGCAGGUUGAAGGUUGGGUAACACUAACUGGAGGACCGAACCGACUAAUGUUGAAAAAUUAGCGGAUGACCUGUGGCUGGGGGUGAAAGGCCAAUCAAACCGGGAGAUAGCUGGUUCUCCCCGAAAGCUAUUUAGGUAGCGCCUCGUGAAUUCAUCUCCGGGGGUAGAGCACUGUUUCGGCUAGGGGGCCAUCCCGGCUUACCAACCCGAUGCAAACUGCGAAUACCGGAGAAUGUUAUCACGGGAGACACACGGCGGGUGCUAACGUCCGUCGUGAAGAGGGAAACAACCCAGACCGCCAGCUAAGGUCCCAAAGUCAUGGUUAAGUGGGAAACGAUGUGGGAAGGCCCAGACAGCCAGGAUGUUGGCUUAGAAGCAGCCAUCAUUUAAAGAAAGCGUAAUAGCUCACUGGUCGAGUCGGCCUGCGCGGAAGAUGUAACGGGGCUAAACCAUGCACCGAAGCUGCGGCAGCGACACUGUGUGUUGUUGGGUAGGGGAGCGUUCUGUAAGCCUGUGAAGGUGUGUCGUGAGGCAUGCUGGAGGUAUCAGAAGUGCGAAUGCUGACAUAAGUAACGAUAAAGCGGGUGAAAAGCCCGCUCGCCGGAAGACCAAGGGUUCCUGUCCAACGUUAAUCGGGGCAGGGUGAGUCGACCCCUAAGGCGAGGCCGAAAGGCGUAGUCGAUGGGAAACGGGUUAAUAUUCCCGUACUUGGUGUUACUGCGAAGGGGGGACGGAGAAGGCUAUGUUGGCCGGGCGACGGUUGUCCCGGUUUAAGCGUGUAGGUGUGUGUUCCAGGUAAAUCCGGUUCACUUUAACACUGAGGCGUGACGACGAGGCACUACGGUGCUGAAGCAACAAAUGCCCUGCUUCCAGGAAAAGCCUCUAAGCAUCAGGUAACAUCAAAUCGUACCCCAAACCGACACAGGUGGUCAGGUAGAGAAUACCAAGGCGCUUGAGAGAACUCGGGUGAAGGAACUAGGCAAAAUGGUGCCGUAACUUCGGGAGAAGGCACGCUGACACGUAGGUGAAGUGAUUUACUCAUGGAGCUGAAGUCAGUCGAAGAUACCAGCUGGCUGCAACUGUUUAUUAAAAACACAGCACUGUGCAAACACGAAAGUGGACGUAUACGGUGUGACGCCUGCCCGGUGCCGGAAGGUUAAUUGAUGGGGUCAGCGCAAGCGAAGCUCCUGAUCGAAGCCCCGGUAAACGGCGGCCGUAACUAUAACGGUCCUAAGGUAGCGAAAUUCCUUGUCGGGUAAGUUCCGACCUGCACGAAUGGCGUAAUGAUGGCCAGGCUGUCUCCACCCGAGACUCAGUGAAAUUGAACUCGCUGUGAAGAUGCAGUGUACCCGCGGCAAGACGGAAAGACCCCGUGAACCUUUACUAUAGCUUGACACUGAACAUUGAGCCUUGAUGUGUAGGAUAGGUGGGAGGCUUUGAAGUGUGGACGCCAGUCUGCAUGGAGCCGACCUUGAAAUACCACCCUUUAAUGUUUGAUGUUCUAACGUGGACCCGUUACCCGGGUUGCGGACAGUGUCUGGUGGGUAGUUUGACUGGGGCGGUCUCCUCCUAAAGAGUAACGGAGGAGCACGAAGGUUGGCUAAUCCUGGUCGGACAUCAGGAGGUUAGUGCAAUGGCAUAAGCCAGCUUGACUGCGAGCGUGACGGCGCGAGCAGGUGCGAAAGCAGGUCAUAGUGAUCCGGUGGUUCUGAAUGGAAGGGCCAUCGCUCAACGGAUAAAAGGUACUCCGGGGAUAACAGGCUGAUACCGCCCAAGAGUUCAUAUCGACGGCGGUGUUUGGCACCUCGAUGUCGGCUCAUCACAUCCUGGGGCUGAAGUAGGUCCCAAGGGUAUGGCUGUUCGCCAUUUAAAGUGGUACGCGAGCUGGGUUUAGAACGUCGUGAGACAGUUCGGUCCCUAUCUGCCGUGGGCGCUGGAGAACUGAGGGGGGCUGCUCCUAGUACGAGAGGACCGGAGUGGACGCAUCACUGGUGUUCGGGUUGUCAUGCCAAUGGCACUGCCCGGUAGCUAAAUGCGGAAGAGAUAAGUGCUGAAAGCAUCUAAGCACGAAACUUGCCCCGAG
RNAcentral lists this ribosomal RNA (2133 nucleotides) under Salmonella enterica subsp. enterica serovar Enteritidis. RNAcentral's name for it is "partial 23S ribosomal RNA". It matches the Rfam family "Bacterial large subunit ribosomal RNA", at positions 689 to 2803 of the family's 2925-position model. The record is from RNAcentral. Lineage: Bacteria; Pseudomonadati; Pseudomonadota; Gammaproteobacteria; Enterobacterales; Enterobacteriaceae.